RNAcentral lists this ribosomal RNA (651 nucleotides) under Mycetocola sp. Its description in RNAcentral is "bacterial SSU rRNA". It matches the Rfam family "Bacterial small subunit ribosomal RNA", at positions 152 to 817 of the family's 1533-position model. Lineage: Bacteria; Bacillati; Actinomycetota; Actinomycetes; Micrococcales; Microbacteriaceae. The record is from RNAcentral.
GGAAACGACGUCUAAUACCGGAUACGAGCUUCCACCGCAUGGUGAGUUGCUGGAAAGAAUUUUGGUCAAGGAUGGACUCGCGGCCUAUCAGCUUGUUGGUGAGGUAACGGCUCACCAAGGCGACGACGGGUAGCCGGCCUGAGAGGGUGACCGGCCACACUGGGACUGAGACACGGCCCAGACUCCUACGGGAGGCAGCAGUGGGGAAUAUUGCACAAUGGGCGAAAGCCUGAUGCAGCAACGCCGCGUGAGGGACGACGGCCUUCGGGUUGUAAACCUCUUUUAGCAGGGAAGAAGCGAAAGUGACGGUACCUGCAGAAAAAGCACCGGCUAACUACGUGCCAGCAGCCGCGGUAAUACGUAGGGUGCAAGCGUUGUCCGGAAUUAUUGGGCGUAAAGAGCUCGUAGGCGGUUUGUCGCGUCUGCUGUGAAAUCCCGAGGCUCAACCUCGGGUCUGCAGUGGGUACGGGCAGACUAGAGUGCGGUAGGGGAGAUUGGAAUUCCUGGUGUAGCGGUGGAAUGCGCAGAUAUCAGGAGGAACACCGAUGGCGAAGGCAGAUCUCUGGGCCGCUACUGACGCUGAGGAGCGAAAGGGUGGGGAGCAAACAGGCUUAGAUACCCUGGUAGUCCACCCCGUAAACGUUGGGCGCU